This 253-nucleotide ribosomal RNA is filed under the name uncultured bacterium. RNAcentral's name for it is "partial 16S ribosomal RNA". It matches the Rfam family "Bacterial small subunit ribosomal RNA", at positions 524 to 776 of the family's 1533-position model. The record is from RNAcentral.
UACGUAUGGUGCAAGCGUUAUCCGGAUUUACUGGGCGUAAAGGGAGCGCAGGCGGCGCGCCAAGUCUGAUGUGAAACCCCGGGGCUCAACCCCGGGCAUGCAUUGGAAACUGGCGGGCUGGAGUGCCGGAGAGGUAGGCGGAAUUCCUAGUGUAGCGGUGAAAUGCGUAGAUAUUAGGAGGAACACCAGUGGCGAAGGCGGCUUACUGGACGGCAACUGACGCUGAGGCUCGAAAGCGUGGGGAGCAAACAGG